UACGGGGGGUGCAAGCGUUAUCCGGAUUCACUGGGUUUAAAGGGUGCGUAGGUGGGCAGGUAAGUCAGUGGUGAAAUCUCUGGGCUUAACCCGGAACUGCCGUUGAUACUAUCUGUCUUGAAUAUAGUGGAGGUGAGCGGAAUAUGUCAUGUAGCGGUGAAAUGCUUAGAUAUGACAUAGAACAUCGAUUGCGAAGGCAGCUCGCUACACUAUGAUUGACACUGAGGCACGAAAGCGUGGGGAUCAAACAGG
This 252-nucleotide ribosomal RNA is filed under the name uncultured bacterium. RNAcentral describes it as "partial 16S ribosomal RNA". It matches the Rfam family "Bacterial small subunit ribosomal RNA", at positions 524 to 776 of the family's 1533-position model. The record is from RNAcentral.